GGAGGGGCCCUGGCUCAGUGGCAGAGCAUUUGUUUUACAUGCACAAGGUCCCAGGUUCAAUUCCCAGCUUCUCCA
Podarcis lilfordi (Lilford's wall lizard) is the source of this 75-nucleotide non-coding RNA. The record is from the annotation of a GenBank genome assembly. Lineage: Eukaryota; Metazoa; Chordata; Lepidosauria; Squamata; Lacertidae.